RNAcentral lists this ribosomal RNA (421 nucleotides) under uncultured bacterium. RNAcentral's name for it is "partial 16S ribosomal RNA". It matches the Rfam family "Bacterial small subunit ribosomal RNA", at positions 360 to 774 of the family's 1533-position model. The record is from RNAcentral.
AAUCUUCCGCAAUGGACGCAAGUCUGACGGAGCAACGCCGCGUGAGUGAUGAAGGUUUUCGGAUCGUAAAGCUCUGUUGCCAGGGAAGAAUAGGCUUGGGAGUAACUGCCCAAGCUGUGACGGUACCUGAGAAGAAAGCCCCGGCUAACUACGUGCCAGCAGCCGCGGUAAUACGUAGGGGGCAAGCGUUGUCCGGAAUUAUUGGGCGUAAAGGGCACGCAGGCGGUGGUUUAAGUUUGGUGUUUAAUCCCAGGGCUCAACCCUGGUACGCACUGAAAACUGGAUCACUUGAGUGCAGAAGAGGAGAGUGGAAUUCCACGUGUAGCGGUGAAAUGCGUAGAGAUGUGGAGGAACACCAGUGGCGAAGGCGACUCUCUGGUCUGUAACUGACGCUGAGGUGCGAAAGCGUGGGUAGCAAACA